This 495-nucleotide ribosomal RNA is filed under the name uncultured bacterium. RNAcentral's name for it is "partial 16S ribosomal RNA". It matches the Rfam family "Bacterial small subunit ribosomal RNA", at positions 28 to 507 of the family's 1533-position model. The record is from RNAcentral.
GACGAACGCUGGCGGCGUGCCUAAUACAUGCAAGUAGAACGCUGAAGGAGGAGCUUGCUUCUCUGGAUGAGUUGCGAACGGGUGAGUAACGCGUAGGUAACCUGCCUGGUAGCGGGGGAUAACUAUUGGAAACGAUAGCUAAUACCGCAUAAUAGUAGAUGUUGCAUGACAUUUGCUUAAAAGGUGCAAUUGCAUCACUACCAGAUGGACCUGCGUUGUAUUAGCUAGUUGGUGGGGUAACGGCUCACCAAGGCGACGAUACAUAGCCGACCUGAGAGGGUGAUCGGCCACACUGGGACUGAGACACGGCCCAGACUCCUACGGGAGGCAGCAGUAGGGAAGCUUCGGCAAUGGACGGAAGUCUGACCGAGCAACGCCGCGUGAGUGAAGAAGGGUUUCGGAUCGUAAAGCUCUGUUGUAAGAGAAGAACGAGUGUGAGAGUGGAAAGUUCACACUGUGACGGUAUCUUACCAGAAAGGGACGGCUAACUACGUG